GCGGGUGUAGCUCAAUGGUAGAGCUCCGGCCUUCCAAGCCGGCGGUGUGGGUUCGAUUCCCAUCACCCGCUCCA
This 74-nucleotide transfer RNA is filed under the name Bacillota bacterium. Its description in RNAcentral is "Firmicutes bacterium (anaerobic digester metagenome) tRNA-Gly". It matches the Rfam family "tRNA". Rfam says of the family: Transfer RNA (tRNA) molecules are approximately 80 nucleotides in length. The record is from RNAcentral. Lineage: Bacteria; Bacillati; Bacillota. RNAcentral also lists the same sequence under 1 other name.